Carassius auratus (goldfish) is the source of this 380-nucleotide long non-coding RNA. RefSeq lists it as uncharacterized. NCBI's taxonomy places the organism in Eukaryota, Metazoa, Chordata, Actinopteri, Cypriniformes, Cyprinidae. The record is from RefSeq and is a predicted model, not a curated record. The transcript is spliced from 4 exons.
UGAAUCUUACCAAUGAGACGGGAGAAUUUGAAUAUCUAAUCCGUUGUGUUUCCACAUUACGACCAAACGGCUAAUCCUUCCCAGCGCCUAGCUGUUGCAGUGUUGAUUGCAGUCACCUUGAUUGUUGAGAUAAAUAAACCCCAAAGGCACUAUUAAGAGCCAUCCAGACACAGGUCACUGCAUUUUUUGCUGUCAGUGCCCUGAAUGCUAAGCUGUAAAAAAUUAUUUUUCCAGAAACGCUUGACCAAAGAAUAAUAAUACAAGGAGACCAAAAACAAGACUAUUAAGCAGACAAAAAAAAAACUUCAUACAUAUAUACAUAUAAAAACGCUUUGACAUUAUAUUAAAAACGUGCAAAGACCAUCAGCAGUUCCUGCAGA